RNAcentral lists this long non-coding RNA (692 nucleotides) under Rhinopithecus roxellana (golden snub-nosed monkey). RNAcentral describes it as "lncRNA (ENSRROG00000045933.1)". Lineage: Eukaryota; Metazoa; Chordata; Mammalia; Primates; Cercopithecidae. The record is from RNAcentral.
AACAUCAAUUUUAAAGAAAUUUUAGUUUGUUUAAUUUUAUUUUUAAUCUCUCUAAUCUUUUUAGGGUAUAAAUGUUAAUCCUGAGAUUACUGCACUACAGACUAUGCUUGCUGAAUGCCAAGAAAAGCUUAAGGAACUGACUUUGAUAGAGAAAAGGUUAGACUGUUUGGAACAAAAAAUGAAAGGAAAUGUGAUGGUAGAUGAAAACACCUGGACUAAUCUGCUUAGUCGUGUCACUCUUCUUGAAACGGAAAUGCUUUUGUCUAAAAAGAAUGACGAAUAUGUAGAGUUUAAUGAAAUUAAUGAAGACUACGCUUCUUGUAGCAACAUGGACCUUCUGAAUCCUCACAGAAAAAACAAAGUAGAGAGGCCAGCAAGUAUUCCUCUGUCCUCUGGCUAUAGUACAGCAUCAUCAGAUUCGACUCCCAGAGCCUCUACCAUUAAUUACUGUGGUUUGAAUGAGAUUUCAGAGAAUUUUCCUGCAUGGAGUGCUCCAUCCUUUUGUUCUAGUCUCAGCUGGCUGCUCCAUGGGCAUACUUCAUACCUUUCAUCACAGCACUUUGCUUGGCCUCUCUCCUGCAUGUAAUCUCUGUUUCUUGGAUCCUGUGCUUACCUUUUCCUGCUGUACUCUGAUGUUUCAGUGAAGCUCAUCCACGAAGUCCAGAAUUCUGCCUGGAACCAGCUUCCUCUUC